CAAUUUUGAGUUCCGCUAGCAGUAACAGAAGCUAGGGAUUCAGAUACCAAAUAUAUCUAAUCUUUUUUUUUUAUUAUUAUUAAUAUUUAAAAUUACGAAAAUAUUCCAUGGGGACUUUAAUUGAAAGUUGAUUUUACCAGUACAGCCCUGAGAUCACUACCCGAUAAGGAAAUCUGCAAAGGAAGGGGAACCAGGAAGUUGAUGGGAUUGACUUUGACCCGGAAUCAAAUGGCUCCAUUGUCACACCCUCCAACUAAGGUGUAUGCACUCACUAAAUCUUCAUACACAAACUCCAGAUCAUAGUUAAUCCAACGGCAGAGAUUAAUCAGACAGAGGAAGUUCAAUAGAAGAAAAGAAGGAAAAUGAAAAUCUCGAUCGCGAUUUGUGAUAUUACAUCAGACAGACCACAGCGCAGUGUAUGAAAGUUUUUAGUCAGAUUGACCGUACAGAAGUGGUGCACUCGACUUCCUCGAGUGGAACCUGAAAAUUGGAAAAAGAGAAAAAGGAAAGUCGAGGGAGUGAUGAAAGAUAAUCACAACCUGGCCAUGUUUAAAACAGUAGUUUCUAGG
RNAcentral lists this long non-coding RNA (569 nucleotides) under Ricinus communis (castor bean). Its description in RNAcentral is "long non-coding RNA (RCOM_LNC000351)". The record is from RNAcentral. Lineage: Eukaryota; Viridiplantae; Streptophyta; Magnoliopsida; Malpighiales; Euphorbiaceae.